CUAGGGGUCCAUCCCGGAUUACCAACCCGAUGCAAACUGCGAAUACCGAAGAGUGAUACUCAGGAGACACACGGUGGGUGCUAACGUCCAUCGUGGAGAGGGAAACAACCCAGACCGCCAGCUAAGGUCCCAAAGUCUAUAUUAAGUGGGAAACGAAGUGGGAAGGCUUAGACAGCUAGGAUGUUGGCUUAGAAGCAGCCACCAUUUAAAGAAAGCGUAAUAGCUCACUAGUCGAGUCGGCCUGCGCGGAAGAUGUAACGGGGCUCAAAUAUAGCACCGAAGCUGCGGCAUCAGACGAAAGUCUGUUGGGUAGGGGAGCGUUGUGUAAGUCGAUGAAGGUGGAUUGAGAAGUCUGCUGGAGAUAUCACAAGUGCGAAUGCUGACAUAAGUAACGAUAAAACGAGUGAAAAACUCGUUCGCCGGAAGACCAAGGGUUCCUGUCCAACGUUAAUCGGGGCAGGGUGAGUCGGCCCCUAAGGCGAGGCUGAAAAGCGUAGUCGAUGGGAAACGGGUUAAUAUUCCCGUACUUGUAAUAACUGCGAUGUGGGGACGGAGAAGGUUAGGUUAGCAGACUGUUGGAUGUCUGUUUAAGCCGGUAGGUGGGAAGAUUAGGCAAAUCCGGUCUUCCUUAACACCGAGAAGUGAUGACGAGUCUCUACGGAGAUGAAGUAAUCGAUACCACGCUUCCAGGAAAAGCCACUAAGCUUCAGGUUAUUAUAAACCGUACUAUAAACCGACACAGGUGGUCAGGUAGAGAAUACUCAGGCGCUUGAGAGAACUCGGGUGAAGGAACUAGGCAAAAUAGCACCGUAACUUCGGGAGAAGGUGCGCCGGCGUAGAUUGUAGUCCCUUGCGGAUGAAGGUUGAACCGGUCGAAGAUACCAGCUGGCUGCAACUGUUUAUUAAAAACACAGCACUCUGCAAACACGAAAGUGGACGUAUAGGGUGUGAUGCCUGCCCGGUGCUGGAAGGUUAAUUGAUGGUGUUAUCGCAAGAGAAGCUCCUGAUCGAAGCCCCAGUAAACGGCGGCCGUAACUAUAACGGUCCUAAGGUAGCGAAAUUCCUUGUCGGGUAAGUUCCGACCUGCACGAAUGGCAUAAUGAUGGCCAGGCUGUCUCCACCCGAGACUCAGUGAAAUUGAAAUCGCCGUGAAGAUGCGGUGUACCCGCGGCUAGACGGAAAGACCCCGUGAACCUUUACUAUAGCUUGACACUGAACAUUGAAUUUUGAUGUGUAGGAUAGGUGGGAGCCUUUGAAGCAGUCACGCCAGUGAUUGUGGAGGCGUCCUUGAAAUACCACCCUUUAACGUUUGAUGUUCUAACGAAGAUUGCGGAACGCGGUCUCGGACAGUGUCUGGUGGGUAGUUUGACUGGGGCGGUCUCCUCCCAAAGAGUAACGGAGGAGCACGAAGGUUUGCUAAUCACGGUCGGACAUCGUGAGGUUAGUGCAAUGGUAUAAGCAAGCUUAACUGCGAGACAGACAAGUCGAGCAGGUGCGAAAGCAGGUCAUAGUGAUCCGGUGGUUCUGAAUGGAAGGGCCAUCGCUCAACGGAUAAAAGGUACUCCGGGGAUAACAGGCUGAUACCGCCCAAGAGUUCAUAUCGACGGCGGUGUUUGGCACCUCGAUGUCGGCUCAUCACAUCCUGGGGCUGAAGUAGGUCCCAAGGGUAUGGCUGUUCGCCAUUUAAAGUGGUACGCGAGCUGGGUUUAGAACGUCGUGAGACAGUUCGGUCCCUAUCUGCCGUGGGCGUUGGAGAAUUGAGAGGGGCUGCUCCUAGUACGAGAGGACCGGAGUGGACGCAUCACUGGUGUUCCAGUUGUCUCGCCAGAGGCAUUGCUGGGUAGCUACAUGCGGAAGAGAUAAGUGCUGAAAGCAUCUAAGCACGAAACUUGCCUCGAGAUGAGUUCUCCCACACUAUAAGUGUGUAAGGGUUGUUGGAGACUACGACGUAGAUAGGCUGGGUGUGUAAGUGUUGUGAGACAUUGAGCUAACCAGUACUAAUUGCCCGAGAGGCUUAACUAU
This 2022-nucleotide ribosomal RNA is filed under the name Mannheimia haemolytica. RNAcentral describes it as "partial 23S ribosomal RNA". It matches the Rfam family "Bacterial large subunit ribosomal RNA", at positions 919 to 2925 of the family's 2925-position model. Lineage: Bacteria; Pseudomonadati; Pseudomonadota; Gammaproteobacteria; Pasteurellales; Pasteurellaceae. The record is from RNAcentral.